Molecule: non-coding RNA, 244 nt
Filed under: Clostridium magnum
Lineage: Bacteria; Bacillati; Bacillota; Clostridia; Eubacteriales; Clostridiaceae
Description: T-box sequence
Rfam family: T-box leader
About the family: Uncharged tRNA acts as the effector for transcription antitermination of genes in the T-box leader family. T-boxes are found upstream of many aminoacyl-tRNA synthetase genes and some amino acid biosynthetic genes usually in Gram-positive bacteria.
Source: RNAcentral
UGAAAGACCAUGAUAAGGAAGAGUAAAUAAUAUACUGCUCUAAGAGAGAAGAACUCACCGGCUGAAAGGUUCUUUGGGUAAGGAUUGUUGAAAACCACCUUUGAGUUGUAAACUGAAGUUUAGUAAGUAUUACCGUAAGCCUGCGUUAAAGGUCUAGAGAUAAUAGCUUUUAUAUUGGUCUAGCUACCAAUAGUUUAUUUGCUAUUAAAUUUGGGUGGAACCGCGAUCUACACUCGUCCCAUGU